This 520-nucleotide ribosomal RNA is filed under the name uncultured Glomus. Its description in RNAcentral is "SSU rRNA". It matches the Rfam family "Eukaryotic small subunit ribosomal RNA", at positions 569 to 1090 of the family's 1831-position model. The record is from RNAcentral. Lineage: Eukaryota; Fungi; Glomeromycota; Glomeromycetes; Glomerales; Glomeraceae.
AGCAGCCGCGGUAAUUCCAGCUCCAAUAGCGUAUAUUAAAGUUGUUGCAGUUAAAAAGCUCGUAGUUGAAUUUCGAGACCGGUUUAUUGGUCGUGCUUUUGUACGUACUGGUAUUAUUGGUUUCUCCUUUCUGACGAAUCUUAAUGCCAUUAAUUUGGUGUUUUGGGGAAUCAGGACUGUUACUUUGAAAAAUUAGAGUGUUUAAAGCAGGCUCACGCUUGAAUACAUUAGCAUGGAAUAACGGAAUAGGACGUUUGAUUCUAUUUUGUUGGUUUCUAGGAUCGACGUAAUGAUUAAUAGGGAUAGUUGGGGGCAUUAGUAUUCAAUUGUCAGAGGUGAAAUUCUUGGAUUUAUUGAAGACUAACUACUGCGAAAGCAUUUGCCAAAGGAUGUUUUCAUUAAUCAAGAACGAAAGUUAGGGGAUUCGAAGACGAUCAGAUACCGUCGUAGUCUUAACCAUAAACUAUAGCCGACUAGGGAUCGGAUGAUGUUAAUUUUUAAUGACUCAUUCUGCGCCUUA